RNAcentral lists this ribosomal RNA (392 nucleotides) under uncultured bacterium. Its description in RNAcentral is "partial 16S ribosomal RNA". It matches the Rfam family "Bacterial small subunit ribosomal RNA", at positions 523 to 918 of the family's 1533-position model. The record is from RNAcentral.
AUACGGAGGACGCGAGCGUUAUCCGGAUUCAUUGGGUUUAAAGGGUGCGCAGGCGGCCGUGCAAGUCAGCGGUGAAAGCCCGGGGCUCAACCCCGGAAGUGCCGUUGAUACUGCAUGGCUGGAAUGCGGUCGAGGCGGGCGGAACGGGGCGUGUAGCGGUGAAAUUCGUAGAUAUGCCACAGAACGACGAGAGCGGAGGCAGCUCGCCAGGCCUGCAUUGAGGCUCGGGCACGAAAGCGUGGGAUCGAACAGGAUUAGAUACCCUGGUAGUCCACGCCGUAAACGAUGGGCGCUCGUCGUCGGCGGCAGACAGUCGGCGGCCAAGCGAAAGCGAUAAGCGCCCCACCUGGGGAGUACGGUCGCAAGGCUGAAACUCAAAUGAAUUGACGGGG